GAGUGUCAUGUCAUCACGCCCAAUCAUUGACAAGUCAUUGUCACACCAUCACCUUUAAUGACGUGGCGAUGAUGUGUUAGUGAUUGGAUAUGAUGAUGAGAUACUCUAU
Glycine soja is the source of this 109-nucleotide non-coding RNA. The record is from Rfam. Lineage: Eukaryota; Viridiplantae; Streptophyta; Magnoliopsida; Fabales; Fabaceae.